GAAUAGGGACAAUCCGCAGCCAAGCGCUAAGUGCCCGAAAGGGGCAUAUGCGUGCAGUUCACAGGCCAAAUGGUAGUGGGCACACGGACCUCCCCGUGUGCUUAAGAUAUGGUCGAGUCCCAAUCGAGAGAUUGGGUACGAGUACUCUGCUACUUUAAAAAACAAAACACUGUUCCGUAGGUGAACCUGCGGAAGGAUCAUUAUUGAAUAGCGCGCAUGCGCUCAUUCUCCGGCUGUGCGCCCUCGGGCUGCACGCCUGGAUCUACAACACCUGUGCAUGUUUCGUUCGGUCGGCUCGGCCGUUCGCCUUUCAUCAACAUCUGUAUUGAAUGUCCAUAUUAUAUAUAAAUACAACUUUCAGCAACGGAUCUCUUGGCUCUCGCAUCGAUGAAGAACGCAGCGAAAUGCGAUAAGUAAUGUGAAUUGCAGAAUUCAGUGAAUCAUCGAAUCUUUGAACGCACCUUGCGCCCCAUGGUAUUCCGUGGGGCAUGCCUGUUUGAGUGUCACGUGAAACCUCACACGCCGUGAUGUCAAAGUCACGUCGGGUGGAUUUGGACCGUGCCGUAGUUGGCUCGUCCUGAAAUGCAUUAGCCUGGUCGUCGGACCGAAAGGCCGUGGUGUGAUAAUCUAUCUGCGCCAAUAAGUGCCCGAGGUGUAAUU
RNAcentral lists this ribosomal RNA (660 nucleotides) under Sebacina sp. G1628. RNAcentral describes it as "eukaryotic LSU rRNA". The stretch from base 353 to 506 matches the Rfam family "5.8S ribosomal RNA". Lineage: Eukaryota; Fungi; Basidiomycota; Agaricomycetes; Sebacinales; Sebacinaceae. The record is from RNAcentral.